This 375-nucleotide ribosomal RNA is filed under the name Varistrombidium sp. RNAcentral's name for it is "partial small subunit ribosomal RNA". It matches the Rfam family "Eukaryotic small subunit ribosomal RNA", at positions 587 to 975 of the family's 1831-position model. The record is from RNAcentral. Lineage: Eukaryota; Ciliophora; Spirotrichea; Strombidiidae.
AGCUCCAAUAGCGUAUAUUAAAGUUGUUGCAGUUAAAAAGCUCGUAGUUGGAUUUCUGGGAGAAUGCCAAUGUCCGCUUACGCGUGUGCAGCGGCGUCCUCCCAUCCUUCUGUUAACGCCUCUUGGCAUUCAUUUGCUGGUGGCGGGCUCAGAUAUUUUACCUUGAGAAAAUUAGAGUGUUUCAGGCAGGCUAGGCCGGAAUACAUUAGCAUGGAAUAAUGGAAUAGGACUACGGUCUCUUUGUUGGUUUGAGGGACUGCAGUAAUGAUUAAUAGGGAUAGUUGGGGGCAUUAGUAUUUAAUUGUCAGAGGUGGAAUUCUCGGAUUUGUUAAAGACUAACUUAUGCGAAAGCAUUUGCCAAGGAUGUUUUCAUUA